AGCGUACACGGUGGAUGCCUUGGCAGUCAGAGGCGAUGAAAGACGUAGUAACUUGCGAUAAGCCCAGAUUAGGUAGUAACAACCAUUUGAGUCUGGGAUUUCUGAAUGGGGAAACCCACGUGCAUAAGCACGUAUCCUUACCUGAAUACAUAGGGUAAGGAGGCGAACCGGGGGAACUGAAACAUCUAAGUACCCCGAGGAAAAGAAAUCAACCGAGAUUCCGAAAGUAGCGGCGAGCGAAAUUGGACUAGCCCUUAAGCUUUACACGCGUUAGACGAACGGUCUGGAAAGUCCGACGAUACAGGGUGAUAGUCCCGUAGUUGACGACGUGUGUUCAGUGAAAUCGAGUAGGGCGGGACACGUGAUAUCCUGUCUGAAUAUGGGGGGACCAUCCUCCAAGGCUAAAUACUACUGACUGACCGAUAGUGAACCAGUACCGUGAGGGAAAGGCGAAAAGAACCCCUGUGAGGGGAGUGAAAUAGAACCUGAAACCGUGUACGUACAAGCAGUAGGAGCAGGCUUUGUCCUGUGACUGCGUACCUUUUGUAUAAUGGGUCAGCGACUUAUAUUCAGUGGCAAGGUUAACCAUCUAGGGGAGCCGUAGGGAAACCGAGUCUUAACUGGGCGUUCAGUCUCUGGAUAUAGACCCGAAACCAGGUGAUCUAGCCAUGGGCAGGUUGAAGGUUGAGUAACAUCAACUGGAGGACCGAACCGACUAAUGUUGAAAAAUUAGCGGAUGACUUGUGGCUAGGGGUGAAAGGCCAAUCAAACCUGGAGAUAGCUGGUUCUCCCCGAAAGCUAUUUAGGUAGCGCCUCGGACGAAUACUACUGGGGGUAGAGCACUGUUAAGGCUAGGGGGUCAUCCCGACUUACCAACCCUUUGCAAACUCCGAAUACCAGUAAGUACUAUCCGGGAGACACACGGCGGGUGCUAACGUCCGUCGUGGAGAGGGAAACAACCCAGACCGCCAGCUAAGGUCCCAAAUUACUACUAAGUGGGAAACGAUGUGGGAAGGCUCAGACAGCCAGGAUGUUGGCUUAGAAGCAGCCAUCAUUUAAAGAAAGCGUAAUAGCUCACUGGUCGAGUCGGCCUGCGCGGAAGAUGUAACGGGGCUAAGUAGUAAACCGAAGCUGCGGCAAUGUGCUUUUGCACAUUGGGUAGGGGAGCGUUCUGUAAGCGGUUGAAGGUGUGUGGUAACGCAUGCUGGACGUAUCAGAAGUGCGAAUGCUGACAUGAGUAACGAUAAAGGGGGUGAAAAACCUCCUCGCCGGAAGACCAAGGGUUCCUGUCCAACGUUAAUCGGGGCAGGGUAAGUCGACCCCUAAGGCGAGGCCGAAAGGCGUAGUCGAUGGGAAACGGGUUAAUAUUCCCGUACUUCUUACAAUUGCGAUGGGGGGACGGAGAAGGCUAGGUGGGCCUGGCGACGGUUGUCCAGGUUCAAGUGCGUAGGCUUAAGAGUUAGGUAAAUCCGGCUCUUUUUAAGGCUGAGACACGACGUCGAGCACCUACGGGUGUGAAGUCAUUGAUGCCAUGCUUCCAGGAAAAGCCUCUAAGCUUCAGAUUGUAAGGAAUCGUACCCCAAACCGACACAGGUGGUCGGGUAGAGAAUACCAAGGCGCUUGAGAGAACUCGGGUGAAGGAACUAGGCAAAAUGGUACCGUAACUUCGGGAGAAGGUACGCUCUCGACGGUGAAGUCCCUCGCGGAUGGAGCUAUUGAGAGUCGCAGAUACCAGGUGGCUGCAACUGUUUAUUAAAAACACAGCACUGUGCAAAAUCGUAAGAUGACGUAUACGGUGUGACGCCUGCCCGGUGCCGGAAGGUUAAUUGAUGGGGUUAGACUUCGGUCGAAGCUCUUGAUCGAAGCCCCGGUAAACGGCGGCCGUAACUAUAACGGUCCUAAGGUAGCGAAAUUCCUUGUCGGGUAAGUUCCGACCUGCACGAAUGGCGUAAUGAUGGCCACGCUGUCUCCACCCGAGACUCAGUGAAAUUGAAAUCGCUGUGAAGAUGCAGUGUACCCGCGGCUAGACGGAAAGACCCCGUGAACCUUUACUACAGCUUGGCACUGAACAUUGACCCUACAUGUGUAGGAUAGGUGGGAGGCUUUGAAGCACGUACGCCAGUAUGUGUGGAGCCGUCCUUGAAAUACCACCCUUGUAGUGUUGAUGUUCUAACGUCGACCCCUUAUCGGGGUUGCGGACAGUGCCUGGUGGGUAGUUUGACUGGGGCGGUCUCCUCCCAAAGAGUAACGGAGGAGCACGAAGGUGGGCUAAUCACGGUUGGACAUCGUGAGGUUAGUGCAAUGGCAUAAGCCCGCUUGACUGCGAGAAUGACAAUUCGAGCAGGUGCGAAAGCAGGUCAUAGUGAUCCGGUGGUUCUGAAUGGAAGGGCCAUCGCUCAACGGAUAAAAGGUACUCCGGGGAUAACAGGCUGAUACCGCCCAAGAGUUCAUAUCGACGGCGGUGUUUGGCACCUCGAUGUCGGCUCAUCACAUCCUGGGGCUGAAGUCGGUCCCAAGGGUAUGGCUGUUCGCCAUUUAAAGUGGUACGCGAGCUGGGUUUAGAACGUCGUGAGACAGUUCGGUCCCUAUCUGCCGUGGGCGUUGGAAGAUUGAAGGGGGCUGCUCCUAGUACGAGAGGACCGGAGUGGACGAACCUCUGGUGUUCGGGUUGUGUCGCCAGACGCAUUGCCCGGUAGCUAAGUUCGGAAUCGAUAACCGCUGAAAGCAUCUAAGCGGGAAGCGAGCCCUGAGAUGAGUCUUCCCUGAUACUUUAAGUAUCCUAAAGGGUUGU
RNAcentral lists this ribosomal RNA (2791 nucleotides) under Vibrio parahaemolyticus. Its description in RNAcentral is "bacterial LSU rRNA". It matches the Rfam family "Bacterial large subunit ribosomal RNA". Lineage: Bacteria; Pseudomonadati; Pseudomonadota; Gammaproteobacteria; Vibrionales; Vibrionaceae. The record is from RNAcentral.